AAUCAAUAUCGUCUAAAGACUAGAGACCAUGCCACGAAGUCUACAAACCUUCUGCAUCUAGAAUCCCACUGGGCCUGGUCGCUUUCCCAUGGACCAGGUCCUGCUGCUCUACAAUCCCCCCACCAGCCCAGGGAUGGACUGCAGAGGAGAAGGGCAUGUGACACAGUAAAGGCCAGUUCAGAAGAAUAAGAGAAUAUCACAGAGAAGAAAAAGAAGGCUCCUGCUACACCAGAAGCCCUUAAGUAACAGUGAAGGAAUUUCCCAGAGCUGUAGAUCAGUUUCCUGAGAAAGCAGUUUGCCCAAAGAUGCUUCAAAAGGCAAAGAGGAAGCUCAUCAAUGAAGAGCUAGGCUUUAUCUCAAGGAAUACAGGCAGAUGUGCAGAACCGAGAUUUACUAGCUAGGACGGCAACAGAAGCUGGCAACUUCUACUCACCUGCAGAACCCAAACUGACAUUCAUCAGGAUCACAGAGAUCAAGGCUGUCAGCCCAGAUGUCCAAAAGCUGUUGAAGCUUCUUCACCUUUGCUAGAUCCUCAGUGGAAACUUUGUUAAGGUCCAUAUAGCUUCAGUUAACAUGCAGAGGAUUGUAGAACCAUAUGUUACAUGGGGGUCCUCAGACCUGAAGUCAGUAAAUGAGGUUAUUACAAAAGUGGUGACAGCAGAAUCAAUAGGGAAGACCAGACCAACAGGCUCAUUAGAAGAAUGAACUAAGCCAUCUACCCUGACUAUUUUGUAAUCCGAUCAGUUAAUAAACAGUGACUGCUUUCAAUCAAAA
Otolemur garnettii (small-eared galago) is the source of this 774-nucleotide long non-coding RNA. RefSeq lists it as uncharacterized. The record is from RefSeq and is a predicted model, not a curated record. NCBI's taxonomy places the organism in Eukaryota, Metazoa, Chordata, Mammalia, Primates, Galagidae. The transcript has 2 exons.